Molecule: ribosomal RNA, 633 nt
Filed under: Aneurinibacillus aneurinilyticus
Lineage: Bacteria; Bacillati; Bacillota; Bacilli; Caryophanales; Paenibacillaceae
Description: bacterial SSU rRNA
Rfam family: Bacterial small subunit ribosomal RNA
Source: RNAcentral
GGACCAAAGAAGAGCUUGCUCUUCGGCGGUUAGCGGCGGACGGGUGAGUAACACGUAGGCAACCUGCCUGUACGACUGGGAUAACUCCGGGAAACCGGAGCUAAUACCGGAUACGUUUUUCAGACCGCAUGGUCUGAAAGAGAAAGACCUUUGGUCACGUACAGAUGGGCCUGCGGCGCAUUAGCUAGUUGGUGGGGUAACGGCCUACCAAGGCGACGAUGCGUAGCCGACCUGAGAGGGUGAUCGGCCACACUGGGACUGAGACACGGCCCAGACUCCUACGGGAGGCAGCAGUAGGGAAUCUUCCGCAAUGGACGAAAGUCUGACGGAGCAACGCCGCGUGAACGAUGAAGGUUUUCGGAUCGUAAAGUUCUGUUGUUAGGGAAGAACCGCCGGGAUGACCUCCCGGUCUGACGGUACCUAACGAGAAAGCCCCGGCUAACUACGUGCCAGCAGCCGCGGUAAUACGUAGGGGGCAAGCGUUGUCCGGAAUUAUUGGGCGUAAAGCGCGCGCAGGCGGCUUCUUAAGUCAGGUGUGAAAGCCCACGGCUCAACCGUGGAGGGCCACUUGAAACUGGGAGGCUUGAGUGCAGGAGAGGAGAGCGGAAUUCCACGUGUAGCGGUGAAAUGCGU